This 438-nucleotide ribosomal RNA is filed under the name uncultured bacterium. RNAcentral describes it as "partial 16S ribosomal RNA". It matches the Rfam family "Bacterial small subunit ribosomal RNA", at positions 338 to 795 of the family's 1533-position model. The record is from RNAcentral.
CCUAGGGUGGCAGCAGUGGGGAAUAUUGCACAAUGGGGGGAACCCUGAUGCAGCAAUGCCGCGUGGGUGAAGAAGCACUCCGGUGCGUAAAGCCCUGUCAGCAGGGAAGAAAAUGACAGUACCUGGGGAGGAAGCUCCGGCUAACUACGUGCCAGCAGCCGCGGUAAUACGUAGGGAGCGAGCGUUGUCCGGAAUUACUGGGUGUAAAGGGAGCGUAGGCGGGGAUGCAAGUUGGGUGUUAAAUCUACCGGCUCAACUGGUAGUCGCACUCAAAACUGCAGCUCUUGAGUGAAGUAGAGGCAGGCGGAAUUCCUAGUGUAGCGGUGAAAUGCGUAGAUAUUAGGAGGAACACCAGUGGCGAAGGCGGCCUGCUGGGCUUUUACUGACGCUGAGGCUCGAAAGUGUGGGGAGCAAACAGGAUUAGAUACCCGAGUAGUC